UACGGGGGGGGCAAGCGUUGUUCGGAAUUACUGGGCGUAAAGGGCUCGUAGGCGGCCAACUAAGUCAGACGUGAAAUCCCCGGGCUUAACCUGGGAAUGGCAUUUGGGACUGCAAGGCUGGAGUGCAGCAGAGGAGACUGGAAUUCCCGGUGUAGCAGUGAAAUGCGUAGAUAUCGGGAGGAAUACCGAUGGCGAAGGCAGGUCUCUGGGCUGACACUGACGCUCAUGCACGAAAGCGUGGGGAGCAAACAGG
This 253-nucleotide ribosomal RNA is filed under the name uncultured bacterium. RNAcentral's name for it is "partial 16S ribosomal RNA". It matches the Rfam family "Bacterial small subunit ribosomal RNA", at positions 524 to 776 of the family's 1533-position model. The record is from RNAcentral.